Molecule: long non-coding RNA, 734 nt
Organism: Zeugodacus cucurbitae (melon fly)
Lineage: Eukaryota; Metazoa; Arthropoda; Insecta; Diptera; Tephritidae
Exons: 2
Source: RefSeq, a predicted model, not a curated record
CAAAGCGGCCAAAUUUGGUUGGUGCAACAAAAGCAAUCAGCUGUAACACAUAUAGCCUACAGCAAGCGCCUACCCGCAGUGUUGUUGUUGUUGCUUGUUGAUUGCAUACUUGUAUUUUUGGUUUAAGAUCAACGUUGCAAUUCAAUUCUGCGUUCAAUUACGUUCUAAACUUUGGCGAGUCAACAACAAGUUGAGCGGUUAAACAGUGUAAAACGUAUCGUUGCGCUUAUUAAAGGAAAUUUUUGUCAAAAUUUGCAUUGAGCAAUACAACAACAAAAACAAAAUUAGUAAUUUUAACAAUUUUUUUUUAUUAAAAAAAUAUAAAGUGUUCAAUUAUGGUUUUGCUGCGUGUCAUCAAAUAUCUUGUGGGUUGUGUGGUGCGUCUGUGUGAGGGGCUCAACCAGAGCGUUUUGUCUUGGAAAAUGCUCAAAUAUCGCAUGUUGCAACAAAGUUGACUAAGAGGCGUACGUGGGUGGAGUCGGCGUGCUCUACUUUGUGUUACCUUCGUUGGCGAUGAUGAGCUGUUGAAUAUCUUCGAAAAUUUAUAGUUGCACUGAAGUUAUUUGAAGUUCGUUACUUAAGUCUUUUGUAUUGUGUAGUUCAAUGUGGAAGCUUGUUGGAAAUAAAAUAAAUUUUUUAAUGCUUUUUUGCUCUAUAAAAACAGUGUUAGUGUACAUAGUUGUAAUGUUAAAACAAAUAUAUUUUCUAAAUAAAUUUCAAUGAUUUUGUGUUUA